GAGCGGCCCAUGACCUAUCAGCUAGUUGGUGAGGUAACGGCCCACCAAGGCAACGACGGGUACCGGGACUGAGAGGUCGGUCCGGCACAUUGGCACUGAGACACUGGCCAGACUCCUACGGGAGGCUGCAGUAACGAAUAUUGGGCAAUGGGCGCAAGCCUGACCCAGCGACGCCGCGUGUGGGAUGAAGUCCCUCGGGAUGUAAACCACUGUCAGAGAUUACCAAGCAAGAAGGGUGAACAAUCUUUCGAGUUGAGGAAUCUCAGAGGAAGCCACGGCUAACUCUGUGCCAGCAGCCGCGGUAAUACAGAGGUGGCGAGCGUUGUUCGGAAUCACUGGGCUUAAAGCGUGAGUAGGCGGCCUGUUAAGCGUCUUGUGAAAUCCCCCGGCUCAACCGGGGAAUUGCUUGGCGAACUGGCGGGCUUGAGGCAGGUAAGGGUAAGUGGAACUCUCGGUGGAGCGGUGGAAUGCGUAGAUAUCGAGAGGAACGCCGGUGGUGAAGACGACUUACUGGGCCUGUCCUGACGCUGAGUCACGAAAGCCGGGGGAGCAAACGGGAUUAGAUACCCCGGUAGUCCUGGCCCUAAACAAUGUCCACUAGACCGGAGACACUCUGACGUGGUUUCGGUCGCAAUGAAAACGUUAAGUGGACCGCCUGGGGAGUACGGUCGCAAGGCUAAAACUCAAAGGAAUUGACGGGGGCUCACACAAGCGGUGGAGCAUGUUGUUCAAUUCGAUGCAACGCGAAGAACCUUAUCCUAGGCUUGACAUGUAUGAGCCUCUACCUGGAAACAGGAUAGAGUUGCCCUUCGGGGUGUAAGCAUACACAGGUGCUGCAUGGCUGUCGUCAGCUCGUGUCGUGAGAUGUCGGGUUAAGUCCCAUAACGAGCGAAACCCUUGUCGCUAGUUGCCAGCGAGUAAUGUCGGGGACUCUAGCGAGACUGCCGGUGUCAAACCGGAGGAAGGUGGGGAUGACGUCAAGUCCUCAUGGCCUUUAUGCCUAGGGCCACAAACGUGCUACAAUGGCUGAGACAAACCGAAGCAAAACCGCGAGGUCGAGCAAAUCGGAAAAAAUCAGCCCCAGUUCAGAUUGGAGUCUGCAACUCGACUCCAUGAAGUUGGAAUCGCUAGUAAUCGCGGAUCAGCUACGCCGCGGUGAAUGUGUUCCUGAGCCUUGUACACACCGCCCGU
Molecule: ribosomal RNA, 1191 nt
Filed under: uncultured bacterium
Lineage: Bacteria
Description: bacterial SSU rRNA
Rfam family: Bacterial small subunit ribosomal RNA
Source: RNAcentral